Molecule: ribosomal RNA, 460 nt
Filed under: uncultured bacterium
Lineage: Bacteria
Description: partial 16S ribosomal RNA
Rfam family: Bacterial small subunit ribosomal RNA
Source: RNAcentral
CCUACGGGUGGCAGCAGUGAGGAAUAUUGGUCAAUGGGCGCGAGGCUGAACCAGCCAAGUCGCGUGAAGGAAGACUGCCCUACGGGUUGUAAACUUCUUUUAUAAGGGAAUAAAGUUAGGCACGUGUGCCUAUUUGUAUGUACUUUAUGAAUAAGGAUCGGCUAACUCCGUGCCAGCAGCCGCGGUAAUACGGAGGAUCCGAGCGUUAUCCGGAUUUAUUGGGGUUAAAGGGAGCGUAGAUGGUUUUUUAAGUCAGUUGUGAAAGUUUGCGGCUCAACCAUAAAAUUGCAAUUGAUACUGGCAGACUUGAGUACAUUUGAGGUAGGCGGAAUGCGUGGUGUAGCGGUGAAAUGCUUAGAUAUCACGAAGAACUCCGAUUGCGAAGGCAGCUUACUAAGCCACCACUGACACUGAUGCUCGAAAGUGUGGGUAUCAAACAGGAUUAGAUACCCGUGUAGUC